Molecule: ribosomal RNA, 792 nt
Filed under: Triticum aestivum (bread wheat)
Lineage: Eukaryota; Viridiplantae; Streptophyta; Magnoliopsida; Poales; Poaceae
Description: partial small subunit ribosomal RNA
Source: RNAcentral
AUGAUCGGUAACCAGUCAGAUAUUCAUGUCCAACAAGAUAGCCUACACCAUCAGAAUGAAAGGCUAUUCACAUGCGUAUAUACAUCCACUGCCGUUGUAGCUUGCCAGGAGAGUAAAAUGAAAAUACCCAAUGAUCAUGCUAUAGUAAAUGAAGAGCACGAAAGGAUUUCACCGGGUCCAAAUAAACAAAAACCAAGAAAGAGGAAACAGAUAGUCCAUGGAAAUCAGAGCAACAAGUGUGCGAGGUUGGUUCAAAGAAAACAAAAUUGUGAAACUGAGUUUGCUUUGAGUACCACAGCUGGCGAACAUGUUCUAGAAGCAUCAAAUUUUGCUAGAGGCUUAGCAGAUACCGAUUUGAUUAGAAGAAAGGUGAUAAGUAAGUUGCAUCGAGCAAAUAGAAAGAAGUUACAAGCGAUGAGAAAAGGAGGUAAAUCUCAUAGUUCUCCAAGUGAGGUUUCAAAUUUUGGAAAACCAACAUGCAUAUGUCCAUUCUGCAAGGCUAUAAUGUGGCAUCAAGAGAGAAGCAAUCAUAACACAAACAAGUCAAGACCAACAUUCGGACUUUGUUGCAAGGAAGGCAAAGUCAAACUGCCACCAUUAAAAAAACCUCCAGGAUACCUUCAGCAGCUACUAACAUGUAAUGAAAAGGGAGAAUCCUCAAAUUACAGAGACAAUAUCAGGAACUACGAUGGGUGGCCAGGUCGACUACGAGAUAAACAAAAUAGGUGGUGCACCAUAUGUUUUUCGCUUGAAUGGCCAAAACUACCAUCAAAUUGGCACGUUGCUACCUAA